CUGACCUCAAAUCGGGUAGGACUACCCGCUGAACUUAAGCAUAUCAAUAAGCGGAGGAAAAGAAACUAACAAGGAUUCCCCUAGUAACUGCGAGUGAAGCGGGAAAAGCUCAAAUUUAAAAUCUGGCGGUUUUGGCCGUCCGAGUUGUAGUCUGGAGAAGUGCUUUCCGCGUUGGACCGUGUACAAGUCUCCUGGAACGGAGCGUCAUAGAGGGUGAGAAUCCCGUCUUUGACACGGACUACCAGUGCUUUGUGAUGCGCUCUCAAAGAGUCGAGUUGUUUGGGAAUGCAGCUCAAAAUGGGUGGUGAAUUCCAUCUAAAGCUAAAUAUUGGCGAGAGACCGAUAGCGAACAAGUACCGUGAGGGAAAGAUGAAAAGCACUUUGGAAAGAGAGUUAAACAGUACGUGAAAUUGCUGAAAGGGAAACGCUUGAAGUCAGUCGCGUCGUCCGGAACUCAGCCUUGCCUCGGCUUGGUGCACUUUCCGGUUGACGGGCCAGCAUCGAUUUUGAACGGCGGAUAAAGGUUUGAGGAAUGUGGCACCCUCGGGUGUGUUAUAGCCUCAGAUUGUAUACGUCGGUUGGGAUCGAGGAACUCAGCUUCGGCU
RNAcentral lists this ribosomal RNA (605 nucleotides) under Tyromyces aff. chioneus F14067. RNAcentral's name for it is "eukaryotic LSU rRNA". It matches the Rfam family "Eukaryotic large subunit ribosomal RNA", at positions 1 to 606 of the family's 3401-position model. Lineage: Eukaryota; Fungi; Basidiomycota; Agaricomycetes; Polyporales; Incrustoporiaceae. The record is from RNAcentral.